AACGGAAACAGAAACGCGGAUGC
RNAcentral lists this non-coding RNA (23 nucleotides) under Arabidopsis thaliana (thale cress). Lineage: Eukaryota; Viridiplantae; Streptophyta; Magnoliopsida; Brassicales; Brassicaceae. The record is from RNAcentral.